Molecule: ribosomal RNA, 600 nt
Filed under: Rossellomorea marisflavi
Lineage: Bacteria; Bacillati; Bacillota; Bacilli; Caryophanales; Bacillaceae
Description: bacterial SSU rRNA
Rfam family: Bacterial small subunit ribosomal RNA
Source: RNAcentral
GCUUGCUCCCUGAGAUCAGCGGCGGACGGGUGAGUAACACGUGGGUAACCUGCCUGUAAGACUGGGAUAACUCCGGGAAACCGGGGCUAAUACCGGAUAACACCUACCCCCGCAUGGGGGAAGGUUGAAAGGUGGCUUCGGCUAUCACUUACAGAUGGACCCGCGGCGCAUUAGCUAGUUGGUGAGGUAAUGGCUCACCAAGGCGACGAUGCGUAGCCGACCUGAGAGGGUGAUCGGCCACACUGGGACUGAGACACGGCCCAGACUCCUACGGGAGGCAGCAGUAGGGAAUCUUCCGCAAUGGACGAAAGUCUGACGGAGCAACGCCGCGUGAGUGAAGAAGGUUUUCGGAUCGUAAAACUCUGUUGUUAGGGAAGAACAAGUGCCGUUCGAAUAGGGCGGCGCCUUGACGGUACCUAACCAGAAAGCCACGGCUAACUACGUGCCAGCAGCCGCGGUAAUACGUAGGUGGCAAGCGUUGUCCGGAAUUAUUGGGCGUAAAGCGCGCGCAGGUGGUUUCUUAAGUCUGAUGUGAAAGCCCACGGCUCAACCGUGGAGGGUCAUUGGAAACUGGGGAACUUGAGUGCAGAAGAGGAAAGU